This 433-nucleotide ribosomal RNA is filed under the name uncultured bacterium. RNAcentral's name for it is "partial 16S ribosomal RNA". It matches the Rfam family "Bacterial small subunit ribosomal RNA", at positions 29 to 507 of the family's 1533-position model. The record is from RNAcentral.
AACGAACGCUGGCGGCAUGCCUAACACAUGCAAGUCGAACGAAGCCUUCGGGCUUAGUGGCGCACGGGUGCGUAACGCGUGGGAAUCUGCCCCUUGCUUCGGAAUAACAGUUAGAAAUGACUGCUAAUACCGGAUGAAGUCUUCGGACCAAAGAUUUAUCGGCAAGGGAUGAGCCCGCAUAGGAUUAGGUAGUUGGUGGGGUAAAGGCCUACCAAGCCGACGAUCCUUAGCUGGUCUGAGAGGAUGAUCAGCCACACUGGGACUGAGACACGGCCCAGACUCCUACGGGAGGCAGCAGUGGGGAAUAUUGGACAAUGGACGCAAGUCUGAUCCAGCAAUGCCGCGUGAGUGAUGAAGGCCUUAGGGUUGUAAAGCUCUUUUACCAGGGAUGAUAAUGACAGUACCUGGAGAAUAAGCUCCGGCUAACUCCGUG